This 69-nucleotide transfer RNA is filed under the name Rattus norvegicus (Norway rat). It matches the Rfam family "tRNA". Rfam says of the family: Transfer RNA (tRNA) molecules are approximately 80 nucleotides in length. The record is from Rfam by way of RNAcentral. Lineage: Eukaryota; Metazoa; Chordata; Mammalia; Rodentia; Muridae.
GGGGAUAUAGCUCAGUGGUACAGCACUUGCCUAGCAAGCACAAGGCCCUGGGUUCAGUCCCCAGCUCCG